Molecule: long non-coding RNA, 469 nt
Organism: Neopsephotus bourkii (Bourke's parrot)
Lineage: Eukaryota; Metazoa; Chordata; Aves; Psittaciformes; Psittacidae
Exons: 4
Source: RefSeq, a predicted model, not a curated record
UCUGUUGCUCUUUGGUUUAUCCAGUUGCUUUGCAGUCUCUUUGGACCAUGAUUGUCUGUUUCUGUGUGUUUGAGCAGCAUAAUGAGUUACUUGUAGAAAAACAUGGAGCUGGGUCUGUGGCCCCAUCAUUCCCUGUCCACGUGGCUAGAAACCCCCUGUAAGCAGGCCCCACUGUUGCUUGUUCUGUCUCCAUUUAUGCCAGGCCACUGAUUGUGCUUUUGAUAUCACAGAUUUGGGAAUGUGAACAAGUGAGGAGAAAACCCUGUUUCUAAGCCACUAAAAUCAUGGUGUUAAGGAAAAGGGAAGCUGAAGCCAAGCAUCACAGUCUUCACUGCUCCUUAGGAGACUGGGAUGAAGGCUUUCUUAUGUAUAGAAUUGUUUCCCAAAAGUUAGUUUUGGAAGGUUUUAGGACUUCACAGACUGGGCUGAAUUCCAGUCAUGUUUUAAUUAAAGGAAGAGAAUUAAGCGA